UCAGCUUGAGCAUAGGGGCGUGAUGGCGCUGGCUUGGUCCGUUCCCGCUAAGUGGGCUAGGGAUUGGGGGAGCUAGCUUAGACACCGCGGCUCUCUUAGGGGAGCUAGGGGAGCAGGCUAAGGGCAUUAACGGCGACCACAAGCGGGAGCUUCAGUUGGCGUGCCUAGAGCCUUUCGAGGCGGCGGACUCGAGGGACAAGGUCGGUUUAGGCCGCUGUUGGGAGACCAAGCUCGAGGAGUCGGUUGCUAGAGCGGCCUCGGGGUUGAAGUGAUGUAGCGGUUGUCUCCUGCGGGGCAAAGCGGGACGGAGUUGGGCUGCAAGGGCUACUGGCGGUCCUGGUGGAGGUGUGGUGGAGUAGAAGCGGCCUCUCGGUGGCCUCCGGAUGCGGGCAUCGACGGCGGCAAAAGGGGACGAAGGCGAACGAGCCUCGCACUGGUCAUCUUGACAGUCCUUAAUACUCACGCUGCUAGAAGUAGUUUGAAUGUCUAAAAUAAGCUGUCAUUCACUAUGCUACAUCCCAAUGCCACAGAUAUGAGCUGUAAACAGAUACCACAACUACCUGAAGUACCUAUAAAAUAAAAGAAAAGGCGAUAUAAAACAACAUACGAUCUAACUCGAUACGUCCAUACAUUAUAAAAUUAAGACUUAGAUACUACAUUAUAAUA
Molecule: ribosomal RNA, 666 nt
Filed under: Triticum aestivum (bread wheat)
Lineage: Eukaryota; Viridiplantae; Streptophyta; Magnoliopsida; Poales; Poaceae
Description: partial small subunit ribosomal RNA
Source: RNAcentral